RNAcentral lists this long non-coding RNA (1325 nucleotides) under Betta splendens (Siamese fighting fish). RNAcentral describes it as "lncRNA (ENSBSLG00000008326.1)". Lineage: Eukaryota; Metazoa; Chordata; Actinopteri; Anabantiformes; Osphronemidae. The record is from RNAcentral.
AUGGAACACUCUGCUUGUUUGAAAAUGAAAGUGGAGACGCUGAGGGGCUUGUUAAACGACCGUCUGACGGCGGUGGUGGAAGAGAUCUGCGGCCUGUUUCUAAUUACGAUAGCGGAGUUGGAGGAAACCCGCCCCCGUUCCAACGUGGCAUGGCCGCAACAGGAGCGACCGCAGGUCCCGUCGCCUGCUUUAAGUGACGGAGGACGGUUGCGCCACGGAGAGACUGAGAGUGUGUUGGCAAUUAAACAAGAGCAGCAACAGAAGAGGUUCAUUUUGGACCAGAAAGCCGGGGAGCCCCUUUACAUUAAAAAGGAAAUGGAGGACCCUGGGAGCAUUUUGGAGGAACAAUGUGUUGAACAACCGAAUUAUCCAUUCAUUUUAACUGACAUCCAACAGGCAACAACUACAAACCAAUCUUUUUCUAAGCAGCAAGAGCAAAGAUCCAUUCGGAAAGACAAAACCCCAAGACCUCCACACUGUAACGAGGACCAGGAGACACGUGGCACCCUGAGUGGAUAUGUGAAGGGGGCUGAAGAAAACAUCAAUUCAGAGUGUCCAAGCAGCAGCAGCAGCUCAGCUCAACAGAUGGAGGUUGAUGGAGAAAACUGUGAUACAGCAGCUUUGGGGUCAGGUAGUGGGAAGACCUCAAACUCUUCUGAGUAUGAUACUGAAGACAGUGAUGAUGAUAUUUGGAAUAGAACACCUGCAUAUCAGUCCAGUUUAAAAAACGAUCUUGGAUCAGAACCAAACAAGUUGGAUUUAAAAGCAGUUACAGAUCUAGAGCCAGACUCAUCUGAACCAGAGACAGAAGAUAGUGACGAUGAAGAUCGGCAUUGCAGCGGGAAACGUCCGUCAGGUCUAACAACUGUAGAACCUGCAGAGGUUCCUGAAAGUCCUUCCAAGUCCUCUUGUCAAACAUCGUUGAGUUUGUCUAUUCAUAGUGAGAGUGAUCAACUCAAGCAGCAGGUAGGGAAUAAAACACGCUCGCAGAAGGCACCUUUAACUCAAUCAAAAUUAUGUUUGGCUGCAAACUUGAGCGAACCCUCUAGCGCCCAAACAAAGUUAAACAGCCCAGCAUCUAGGAAAAGUAAUCGCAGCACAUCUCUAAAGAAAGACAGGACAAAAAAGCUGGAAGAAAAACUCUUUCGGUGUUCUGUUUGUGGUCAGACAUUCGAAAAGAACGCGUAUUUUCUCUUACAUAUGAAAGCACAUAAAGCAGAACGACGGCGCAAGACAGCUCAUUCUGGAGGCAGCAGUUAGUAGCUCAGGUGCAGUCAAAGCUAAUCGCAAAUAAAUAUAACAUCUGAAAUAGUGUAGGUAAUAGU